UACGUAGGGUGCAAGCGUUAAUCGGAAUUACUGGGCGUAAAGCGUGCGCAGGCGGUUUUGUAAGUUUGUCGUGAAAUCCCCGGGCUCAACCUGGGAAUUGCGAUGAAGACUGCAAGGCUAGAAUCUGGCAGAGGGGGGUAGAAUUCCACGUGUAGCAGUGAAAUGCGUAGAGAUGUGGAGGAACACCGAUGGCGAAGGCAGCCCCCUGGGUCAAGAUUGACGCUCAUGCACGAAAGGCGUGGGGAGCAA
RNAcentral lists this ribosomal RNA (249 nucleotides) under uncultured bacterium. RNAcentral's name for it is "partial 16S ribosomal RNA". It matches the Rfam family "Bacterial small subunit ribosomal RNA", at positions 524 to 771 of the family's 1533-position model. The record is from RNAcentral.